This 223-nucleotide long non-coding RNA is filed under the name Mytilus galloprovincialis (Mediterranean mussel). The record is from RNAcentral. Lineage: Eukaryota; Metazoa; Mollusca; Bivalvia; Mytilida; Mytilidae.
UAUUUCUGGGAUAGUCGAUAAUUGUAAUUUCACAAUUUUUGCCAUAAUAGCUACAUAGCAAAGAUUUCUAAAUGGAAAGUUAUGUUAAUGUUAUGGAUGAUACAUAUCAUGUAUAAUUUAUAAGUGAUUAUUUUACAAAUUGUGUGGAAAAGUUUUGUAGAUGCAAAUAGAAAUAUGUGUACAGUAUUUGUCGGUGGCAUUUUGUAUUGUGAAAUGUUGUAAA